This 239-nucleotide ribosomal RNA is filed under the name uncultured bacterium. Its description in RNAcentral is "partial 16S ribosomal RNA". It matches the Rfam family "Bacterial small subunit ribosomal RNA", at positions 118 to 353 of the family's 1533-position model. The record is from RNAcentral.
UGGGUAACCGUGCCUUAUACAGGGGGAGUAACAGUCAGAAAUGGCUGCUAAUACCGCAUAAGCGCACAGAGCUGCAUGGCUCAGUGUGAGAAACUCCGGUGGUAUAAGAUGGACCCGCGUUGGAUUAGCUUGUUGGCAGGGUAACGGCCUACCAAGGCGACGAUCCAUAGCCGGCCUGAGAGGGUGAACGGCCACAUUGGGACUGAGACACGGCCCAGACUCCUACGGGAGGCAGCAUG